Molecule: long non-coding RNA, 374 nt
Organism: Limulus polyphemus (Atlantic horseshoe crab)
Lineage: Eukaryota; Metazoa; Arthropoda; Merostomata; Xiphosura; Limulidae
Exons: 3
Source: RefSeq, a predicted model, not a curated record
CCUCUACAUUCAGAGAUCAUUAAUAGAGUCCAGAACACCAUUUUAAUUAUAUAUGCUGUAUAGCAUAGGAAAUCAGGUUUUAGGACUAUGAAUGUAGUACCUGGCCAUUUGAAAACCCAGUUGAAUGCUCGUGAUAAAGAAGUUUAGGUCUUGGUAUUUAGCAGCAGUAAUGGUGAAUGAGACUUGUUUACCAGUGCUGAUGGCUCUGUGCGGGUAUUUGAUCAAAGACACUUGGAGCAUUCAACAGUUUACAAAGAUGGAUGUGUCACCCACUGAUGAGAUUAGCCUGGAACAAGCUAGAUACCAAUUACUAAACUACUUGUGCUAUGGAUGUAUGUCAGGUGGUGUAUGUCUUUGAACAACUUGAAACUUUG